This is a long non-coding RNA of Callithrix jacchus (white-tufted-ear marmoset), 224 nucleotides long. RefSeq lists it as uncharacterized. The record is from RefSeq and is a predicted model, not a curated record. Lineage: Eukaryota; Metazoa; Chordata; Mammalia; Primates; Cebidae.
UUCUAUUUCUCGCUCCUGCUCCUCCGUGGAGAGGUGUUUUCUGCCAUAAUUGUGAGUUUCCUGAGGCCUUCCCAGCCCUGCAGAACUGUUGAAGGAGACAUCUACGUUGGCGGUCUUGGGGACUCCUGCAGCCAAUUGAAAGCUGCCUUCUACUGAAUGAGGAAGAGAACAGACACUUGGCUGAAUGAAGUACUGCAGGAGACUCACGUGCACUUUGAAGAAAG